Molecule: ribosomal RNA, 510 nt
Filed under: Escherichia coli
Lineage: Bacteria; Pseudomonadati; Pseudomonadota; Gammaproteobacteria; Enterobacterales; Enterobacteriaceae
Description: partial 23S ribosomal RNA
Rfam family: Bacterial large subunit ribosomal RNA
Source: RNAcentral
AGCGUUCUGUAAGCCUGUGAAGGUGUGCUGUGAGGCAUGCUGGAGGUAUCAGAAGUGCGAAUGCUGACAUAAGUAACGAUAAAGCGGGUGAAAAGCCCGCUCGCCGGAAGACCAAGGGUUCCUGUCCAACGUUAAUCGGGGCAGGGUGAGUCGACCCCUAAGGCGAGGCCGAAAGGCGUAGUCGAUGGGAAACAGGUUAAUAUUCCUGUACUUGGUGUUACUGCGAAGGGGGGACGGAGAAGGCUAUGUUGGCCGGGCGACGGUUGUCCCGGUUUAAGCGUGUAGGCUGGUUUUCCAGGCAAAUCCGGAAAAUCAAGGCUGAGGCGUGAUGACGAGGCACUACGGUGCUGAAGCAACAAAUGCCCUGCUUCCAGGAAAAGCCUCUAAGCAUCAGGUAACAUCAAAUCGUACCCCAAACCGACACAGGUGGUCAGGUAGAGAAUACCAAGGCGCUUGAGAGAACUCGGGUGAAGGAACUAGGCAAAAUGGUGCCGUAACUUCGGGAGAAGG